This 587-nucleotide ribosomal RNA is filed under the name uncultured bacterium. RNAcentral describes it as "bacterial SSU rRNA". It matches the Rfam family "Bacterial small subunit ribosomal RNA", at positions 338 to 942 of the family's 1533-position model. The record is from RNAcentral.
CCUACGGGAGGCAGCAGUGGGGAAUAUUGGACAAUGGGGGAAACCCUGAUCCAGCAAUGCCGCGUGAGUGAUGAAGGCCUUAGGGUCGUAAAGCUCUUUUACCAGGGAUGAUAAUGACAGUACCUGGAGAAUAAGCUCCGGCUAACUCCGUGCCAGCAGCCGCGGUAAUACGGAGGGAGCUAGCGUUGUUCGGAAUUACUGGGCGUAAAGCGUGCGUAGGCGGUUAUUCAAGUCAGAGGUGAAAGCCCGGGGCUCAACCCCGGAACGGCCUUUGAAACUAGAUAACUAGAAUCUUGGAGAGGUCAGUGGAAUUCCGAGUGUAGAGGUGAAAUUCGUAGAUAUUCGGAAGAACACCAGUGGCGAAGGCGACUGACUGGACAAGUAUUGACGCUGAGGUACGAAAGCGUGGGGAGCAAACAGGAUUAGAUACCCUGGUAGUCCACGCCGUAAACGAUGAUAACUAGCUGUCCGGACACUUGGUGUUUGGGUGGCGCAGCUAACGCAUUAAGUUAUCCGCCUGGGGAGUACGGUCGCAAGAUUAAAAACUCAAAGGAAUUGACGGCUGAGANGCAGACGACACAGGAGAG